GUGUGAUGUCACCUUAUAGUACACUAAAUAUAAGUUUAUUUCAAACUCUAGAUCUCCAAGAGUGAUGUGGGCAUUUAUGAGGUCUACCUGAGUGAUGACAGAGGCAAAGAUAAGAGCGUCUUUAAUCUGACAGACGCAGGAUACCAAACUGUGAUGAAUGAGCUGUUCAGAGUCAUUGCUAACUCCUCCACUGAAAUCAAAGUCCUCAGUACCGAACACGGAAUUGUCCUGUACUCCAGUGUCACAUACUGUCACGAGGAACUGCGCGUUAAUUGGCUUCACAAGUA
Cynoglossus semilaevis (tongue sole) is the source of this 287-nucleotide long non-coding RNA. RefSeq lists it as uncharacterized. The transcript is spliced from 3 exons. The record is from RefSeq and is a predicted model, not a curated record. Lineage: Eukaryota; Metazoa; Chordata; Actinopteri; Pleuronectiformes; Cynoglossidae.